CGAACGCUGGCGGCGUGCUUAACACAUGCAAGUCGAACGGAAAGGCCCUGCUUUUGUGGGGUGCUCGAGUGGCGAACGGGUGAGUAACACGUGAGUAACCUGCCCUUGACUUUGGGAUAACUUCAGGAAACUGGGGCAAAUACCGGAUAGGAGCUCCUGCUGCAUGGUGGGGGUUGGAAAGUUUCGGCGGUUGGGGAUGGACUCGCGGCUUAUCAGCUUGUUGGUGGGGUAGUGGCUUACCAAGGCUUUGACGGGUAGCCGGCCUGAGAGGGUGACCGGCCACAUUGGGACUGAGAUACGGCCCAGACUCCUACGGGAGGCAGCAGUGGGGAAUAUUGCACAAUGGGCGGAAGCCUGAUGCAGCAACGCCGCGUGCGGGAUGACGGCCUUCGGGUUGUAAACCGCUUUCGCCUGUGACGAAGCGUGAGUGACGGUAAUGGGUAAAGAAGCACCGGCUAACUACGUG
RNAcentral lists this ribosomal RNA (466 nucleotides) under uncultured bacterium. RNAcentral describes it as "partial 16S ribosomal RNA". It matches the Rfam family "Bacterial small subunit ribosomal RNA", at positions 30 to 507 of the family's 1533-position model. The record is from RNAcentral.